CUCUAAACUAAUCCUAAGCCCCUCAGAACGCUCUCUAUCUCAAUCAAUUCGUCUUGUCCUUUAGGACUUUAUUUUCUCGUUUAACAAUGGUGGAUGCCGAACAAGUUCAGUUAAUAUUAGGAGUUAUUGGGAAUAUUACAAAUUUUGGAAUGUUAGCUUAUCAUAUACCUAGGUAUAUCAAGGUUGUGAAUGACGGAUCCGUGGGUAACAUGCAGCCGGAUUUUCCCCUAGUCAAUCUAUUGUAUUGUGCAAUUUGUUUUAUGUACGGCCUUCAUGAUGACACAAUACUUCUUUGCAUCGUCCAUGCCCAGGGGCUUGUAUUUCAUGGUGCUUGCUUGAUCAUCUACCUACUUAACUGUGAAGGCCCGAAAUCAAGAAAAAUAUAUAUAAAGGUGUGCUUAUUUGCAGUUGCUGAUAUAAUUGCGAUGU
Raphanus sativus (radish) is the source of this 429-nucleotide long non-coding RNA. RefSeq lists it as uncharacterized. The transcript is spliced from 4 exons. NCBI's taxonomy places the organism in Eukaryota, Viridiplantae, Streptophyta, Magnoliopsida, Brassicales, Brassicaceae. The record is from RefSeq and is a predicted model, not a curated record.